Molecule: ribosomal RNA, 413 nt
Filed under: Escherichia coli
Lineage: Bacteria; Pseudomonadati; Pseudomonadota; Gammaproteobacteria; Enterobacterales; Enterobacteriaceae
Also listed under: 1 other name
Description: bacterial SSU rRNA
Rfam family: Bacterial small subunit ribosomal RNA
Source: RNAcentral
AAAUUGAAGAGUUUGAUCAUGGCUCAGAUUGAACGCUGGCGGCAGGCCUAACACAUGCAAGUCGAACGGUAACAGGAAGCAGCUUGCUGCUUCGCUGACGAGUGGCGGACGGGUGAGUAAUGUCUGGGAAACUGCCUGAUGGAGGGGGAUAACUACUGGAAACGGUAGCUAAUACCGCAUAAUGUCGCAAGACCAAAGAGGGGGACCUUCGGGCCUCUUGCCAUCGGAUGUGCCCAGAUGGGAUUAGCUUGUUGGUGGGGUAACGGCUCACCAAGGCGACGAUCCCUAGCUGGUCUGAGAGGAUGACCAGCCACACUGGAACUGAGACACGGUCCAGACUCCUACGGGAGGCAGCAGUGGGGAAUAUUGCACAAUGGGCGCAAGCCUGAUGCAGCCAUGCCGCGUGUAUGAAG